GUUUAACCGAUAGUAUAACUAAAUGUUAUACCCAAGAAGUGUUGAUGCAAUGCAAAUUUAAUUGACCGAAGCCCAGAAGUAAUAACAUAAACGGUACAAAUUUAAUGCACCAGAUGGGCAUGCAUACCAUUAAUGUCUCUGCACAGAUGCUCGAGGCAAACAUUUUGAAAAUUCAAAAUCUCAUAAAAUCGUUUAAAAGCUGAAAGGACCA
RNAcentral lists this long non-coding RNA (211 nucleotides) under Mytilus galloprovincialis (Mediterranean mussel). Lineage: Eukaryota; Metazoa; Mollusca; Bivalvia; Mytilida; Mytilidae. The record is from RNAcentral.